RNAcentral lists this ribosomal RNA (539 nucleotides) under uncultured bacterium. Its description in RNAcentral is "partial 16S ribosomal RNA". It matches the Rfam family "Bacterial small subunit ribosomal RNA", at positions 355 to 887 of the family's 1533-position model. The record is from RNAcentral.
UGGGGAAUUUUGGACAAUGGGCGAAAGCCUGAUCCAGCCAUGCCGCGUGCAGGAUGAAGGCCUUCGGGUUGUAAACUGCUUUUGUACGGAAUGAAAAGACUCUGGUUAAUACCUGGGGUCCAUGACGGUACCGUAAGAAUAAGCACCGGCUAACUACGUGCCAGCAGCCGCGGUAAUACGUAGGGUGCAAGCGUUAAUCGGAAUUACUGGGCGUAAAGCGUGCGCAGGCGGUUAUAUAAGACAGAUGUGAAAUCCCCGGGCUCAACCUGGGAACUGCAUUUGUGACUGUAUAGCUAGAGUACGGCAGAGGGGGAUGGAAUUCCGCGUGUAGCAGUGAAAUGCGUAGAUAUGCGGAGGAACACCGAUGGCGAAGGCAAUCCCCUGGGCCUGUACUGACGCUCAUGCACGAAAGCGUGGGGAGCAAACAGGAUUAGAUACCCUGGUAGUCCACGCCCUAAACGAUGUCAACUGGUUGUUGGGUCUUCACUGACUCAGUAACGAAGCUAACGCGUGAAGUUGACCGCCUGGGGAGUACGGCC